UGGGGAAUAUUGGGCAAUGGGCGCAAGCCUGACCCAGCGACGCCGCGUGGGGGAAGAAGUCUUUCGGGACGUAAACCCAUGUUGUACGGGACGAAGGAAGUGACGGUACCGUACGAGGAAGCCCCGGCAAACUACGUGCCAGCAGCCGCGGUAAUACGUAGGGGGCGAGCGUUGUCCGGAAUCACUGGGCGUAAAGCGCACGUAGGCGGGCUGUUAAGUCGGCCGUGAAAUACACUGGCUCAACCGGUGCAGGUCGGUCGAUACUGGCGGUCUGGAGUAUGGGAGAGGGAACUGGAAUUUCCGGUGUAGCGGUGAAAUGCGUAGAUAUCGGGAGGAACACCAGUGGCGAAGGCGGGUUCCUGGCCCAUGUCUGACGCUGAGGUGCGAAAGACGGGGGAGCGAACGG
Molecule: ribosomal RNA, 406 nt
Filed under: uncultured bacterium
Lineage: Bacteria
Description: bacterial SSU rRNA
Rfam family: Bacterial small subunit ribosomal RNA
Source: RNAcentral